CCCAAACAACAUAUGCUGGUAAAAAGAAAAAAGGGAGCUGACUGUGCUGAAGGGGGGCUUAUGCUAAUCCGGCUGGAAAUGUUGGUAUCCACUUGGUCCGUUUGCUCCAUCGCUUUAUUACAGCAACAAUAAAAGAAGCGGUGAAAUAGGAAGAUCAAUUAUUCAUGGCCGUCUUAAAAAGCCGAAACGUUCGUCUACUCGCUUUGACGUUUCCUACCUAUUCGACCGCUGCCAGUUGCGGACGUGUAUACGAGAUUCGGAUAUCAAGUGUCUAGCUAAGCAGACAUUCGUGUGUGCGUGUGUGUGUGUGUCUACGUUUGAAUCUCUAAAAUGGCAACAUGCGCAAUGGACGGAUAUGCUGUUUCCCUGAUGACUCCAAAAGGCUGGAUCUUUCAGGAAGAAAAAAAAAAAGUGUAGACACUGUACGUCACGCCAGGACAAACAAUUGCUCCACAUCGCAGACGGGGCCGUGUGUUGAGUGUGGGAUAUAACACGCUGUCUAUUAUCAUAGCUUUCUUUUUGAAACACAGCCCUAAACUGUUCACCUAAAUCUAUACAGUUCGCGGAAAAGUUUAUUUUUUAUUUUUUGUGAAACAAGAGAAGGGAAACGAACAAAAAAAACAAACAAAAGCCGCUAGCUGCGGGAUAGUUAUGCAGAAUUCUCUCGUCUUGUGCUGUUGUGCGCCGUUAGUUCUCGCCACCUCCCUCGGAGCAACAACAUUAAACCCGACAUGACCAUGCAUCACAUUCGGCUCUGGAGAUGAACUCAUCGCCGCCAUUUGUUUAAGGCUUUUACUGCAGCGACGUCAAAUAAAGAAAGAAAACUUCCCAACAUCGCACACGCAGAAAUUGAAGCUUUUCAGCUUAUCGACAUGUUCGACUGAAGCUGACAAAACGGGUAGGAGGGCUUUCCUGAGGCUGGCCUUUGAAAAAAAUAAAUAAAAGGUACAAGAAAUUGUAAGGAGAUUCUUCCUCAAGAGUUGUUCUGCCCAGCAGCGUCCGUCCACCUCGUCACGGCUGGCCAGAUUGCGAGUGAGGCUUCAGUUGCAGCUGGAACAGUCCAGGAGGAAACGAGUAGCCUUACGUCGUUCAA
This is a long non-coding RNA of Daphnia carinata, 1093 nucleotides long. RefSeq lists it as uncharacterized. NCBI's taxonomy places the organism in Eukaryota, Metazoa, Arthropoda, Branchiopoda, Diplostraca, Daphniidae. The record is from RefSeq and is a predicted model, not a curated record. The transcript is spliced from 5 exons.